CCUACGGGCGGCAGCAGUGAGGAAUAUUGGUCAAUGGACGAGAGUCUGAACCAGCCAAGUAGCGUGAAGGAUGACUGCCCUAUGGGUUGUAAACUUCUUUUAUAUGGGAAUAAAACGUUCCACGUGUGGGAUUUUGUAUGUACCGUAUGAAUAAGGAUCGGCUAAUUCCGUGCCAGCAGCCGCGGUAAUACGGAGGAUCCGAGCGUUAUCCGGAUUUAUUGGGUUUAAAGGGAGCGUAGGUGGAUUGUUAAGUCAGUUGUGAAAGUUUGCGGCUCAACCGUAAAAUUGCAGUUGAAACUGGCAGUCUUGAGUACAGUAGAGGUGGGCGGAAUUCGUGGUGUAGCGGUGAAAUGCUUAGAUAUCACGAAGAACUCCGAUUGCGAAGGCAGUUCACUGGACUGCAACUGACACUGAGGCUCGAAAGUGUGGGUAUCAAACAGGAUUAGAUACCCCUGUAGUC
Molecule: ribosomal RNA, 460 nt
Filed under: uncultured bacterium
Lineage: Bacteria
Description: partial 16S ribosomal RNA
Rfam family: Bacterial small subunit ribosomal RNA
Source: RNAcentral